CAGUAGCCGCGGUAAUACGUAGGGUGCGAGCGUUAAUCGGAAUUACUGGGCGCAAAGCGUGCGCAGGCGGUUGUGUAAGACAGGUGUGAAAUCCCCGGGCUUAACCUGGGAACUGCGCUUGUGACUGCACAGCUAGAGUAUGGCAGAGGGGGGUGGAAUUCCACGUGUAGCAGUGAAAUGCGUAGAGAUGUGGAGGAACACCGAUGGCGAAGGCAGCCCCCUGGGCCAAUACUGACGCUCAUGCACGAAAGCGUGGGGAGCAAACAGGAUUAGAUACCCCGGUAGUCCCUGUCUCUUAUAA
This 301-nucleotide ribosomal RNA is filed under the name uncultured bacterium. RNAcentral describes it as "partial 16S ribosomal RNA". It matches the Rfam family "Bacterial small subunit ribosomal RNA", at positions 509 to 809 of the family's 1533-position model. The record is from RNAcentral.